GUGGUGGCUGCGCUUGCGAGCACCCUGAGGUAGAUUGGGUGGUUUCAGCAGGAACGCAUCCACUGUCUGAGAGUUUAAACUUGAUUUUGUGAGGGGACGAACAGCGUGACAAUUAAAGAAGAUCUAGGAAUCAAAAGCUUCCUGAGGCCUUCACCAGAAGCAGAUGCUGGUGCCGUGCUUCUACAGCCUGCAGAACUCAUCACCGCUCUUGCACUCCAAGCCAUUAUUAAGUAAAGUAAAGAACACAAACACUGUGAUACUGCUACACUUGAUCUGAUAACCAAAAAGUCUACUAAGUGACUAACAGUUAAUAUUUUUGGACAUGAGGUGACUGCAGGUAACUAAAACCAUGGAAAGCAAAACCAUAGAUAAAGGGAUAUUAUGCAGAGCAACUGGGAACCUAAUUCUGACCAACAAGGAGGAAUUGUUUGGCUAAUUGGAAGUGACAGAAACCUUGGGAGAAAGCAACCGCAUACCAAGGAUAAUUAUAAGAAGAAGAGAAGACAUGGAGAAGAGGAGGGAGUAGUUGUGACCGUGGAGGCAGAGAAUGGAGUAAUGUGAUCAUAAAUCAAGGAAUGCUGACAGCCACUAAAGCUGGAGAAGGCCAAGGACAGAUAUUCAAUCCUCCCGUAGAAGUACAGCCCUGCUAAUGCAUUGAUUUUGGACUUCUGGCCUCAGAACUGUAAGAGAAUAAAUUUCUAUUGUUUUAAGCCAUC
RNAcentral lists this non-coding RNA (716 nucleotides) under Pan troglodytes (chimpanzee). The record is from RNAcentral. Lineage: Eukaryota; Metazoa; Chordata; Mammalia; Primates; Hominidae.